RNAcentral lists this ribosomal RNA (508 nucleotides) under uncultured bacterium. Its description in RNAcentral is "partial 16S ribosomal RNA". It matches the Rfam family "Bacterial small subunit ribosomal RNA", at positions 28 to 507 of the family's 1533-position model. The record is from RNAcentral.
GACGAACGCUGGCGGCGUGCCUAAUACAUGCAAGUCGAACGCUUCUUUCCUCCCGAGUGCUUGCACUCAAUUGGAAAGAGGAGUGGCGGACGGGUGAGUAACACGUGGGUAACCUACCCAUCAGAGGGGGAUAACACUUGGAAACAGGUGCUAAUACCGCAUAACAGUUUAUGUCGCAUGGCAUAAGAGUGAAAGGCGCUUUCGGGUGUCGCUGAUGGAUGGACCCGCGGUGCAUUAGCUAGUUGGUGAGGUAACGGCUCACCAAGGCCACGAUGCAUAGCCGACCUGAGAGGGUGAUCGGCCACACUGGGACUGAGACACGGCCCAGACUCCUACGGGAGGCAGCAGUAGGGAAUCUUCGGCAAUGGACGAAAGUCUGACCGAGCAACGCCGCGUGAGUGAAGAAGGUGUUCGGAUCGUAAAACUCUGUUGUUAGAGAAGAACAAGGACGUUAGUAACUGAACGUCCCCUGACGGUAUCUAACCAGAAAGCCACGGCUAACUACGUG